This 217-nucleotide long non-coding RNA is filed under the name Neogale vison (American mink). Its description in RNAcentral is "Neovison vison (American mink) lncRNA (ENSNVIG00000022755.1)". The record is from RNAcentral. Lineage: Eukaryota; Metazoa; Chordata; Mammalia; Carnivora; Mustelidae.
UCUAGACCACACGGACAGAUGACUUGAAAAUAUUUCUGACUCCGAAGUAAUUAUCCUUUGCAUAAUGGCACUUCUGGGAAUACUUCAGAAGCUUCCACCACUGUUCUGUUUUUUAAUCAGGUGGGAUAUGAAGACUAAUCAGUUUUAGGUUUCAAAUUGUGCCUUCAUACAUGUGAUAUGAAAUUAUAAAUAUGCCAUUUACUUUUAUGAGUUUGUU